GGUCAGCCUUGGAAACGAGGUCUAAUACCAAAUACCUUCCUUUUAACACAUGUUAAAAAGAGAAAUGCUCGGCACUUUGGGAUGGUCUCGCGAUCUAUCAGCUUGUUGGUGAGGUAAACGGCUCACCAAAGGCAUCGACGGAUAGCUGGUCUGAGAGGAUGUCCAGCCACAUUGGAACUGAGACACGGUCCAAACUCCUACGGGAGGCAGCAGUAGGGAAUCUUGCACAAUGAGGGAAACCUUGAUGCAGCGACGCCGCGUGCGGGACGAAGGCCCUAGGGUUGUAAACCGCUUUCAGUAGGGACGAAAGUGACGGUACCUACAGAAGAAGCCCCGGCCAACUAUGUG
RNAcentral lists this ribosomal RNA (348 nucleotides) under uncultured bacterium. RNAcentral's name for it is "bacterial SSU rRNA". It matches the Rfam family "Bacterial small subunit ribosomal RNA", at positions 142 to 507 of the family's 1533-position model. The record is from RNAcentral.